CCUACGGGAGGCAGCAGUAGGGAAUCUUCCACAAUGGGCGAAAGCCUGAUGGAGCAACGCCGCGUGGGUGAAGAAGGUCUUCGGAUCGUAAAACCCUGUUGUUAGAGAAGAAAGUGCGUGAGAGUAACUGUUCACGUUUCGACGGUAUCUAACCAGAAAGCCACGGCUAACUACGUGCCAGCAGCCGCGGUAAUACGUAGGUGGCAAGCGUUAUCCGGAUUUAUUGGGCGUAAAGGGAACGCAGGCGGUCUUUUAAGUCUGAUGUGAAAGCCUUCGGCUUAACCGGAGUAGUGCAUUGGAAACUGGGAGACUGGAGGGCAGAAGAGGAGAGUGGAACUCCAUGUGUAGCGGUGAAAUGCGUAGAUAUAUGGAAGAACACCAGUGGCGAAAGCGGCUCUCUGGUCUGUAACUGACGCUGAGGUUCGAAAGCGUGGGUAGCAAACAGGAUUAGAGACCCCUGUAGUC
This 465-nucleotide ribosomal RNA is filed under the name uncultured bacterium. Its description in RNAcentral is "partial 16S ribosomal RNA". It matches the Rfam family "Bacterial small subunit ribosomal RNA", at positions 338 to 795 of the family's 1533-position model. The record is from RNAcentral.